RNAcentral lists this ribosomal RNA (460 nucleotides) under uncultured bacterium. RNAcentral's name for it is "partial 16S ribosomal RNA". It matches the Rfam family "Bacterial small subunit ribosomal RNA", at positions 338 to 795 of the family's 1533-position model. The record is from RNAcentral.
CCUACGGGAGGCAGCAGUGAGGAAUAUUGGUCAAUGGACGAGAGUCUGAACCAGCCAAGUAGCGUGAAGGAUGACUGCCCUAUGGGUUGUAAACUUCUUUUAUAUGGGAAUAAAAUGUUCCACGUGUGGGAUUUUGUAUGUACCAUAUGAAUAAGGAUCGGCUAACUCCGUGCCAGCAGCCGCGGUAAUACGGAGGAUCCGAGUGUUAUCCGGAUUUAUUGGGUUUAAAGGGAGCGUAGGUGGAUUGUUAAGUCAGUUGUGAAAGUUUGCGGCUCAACCGUAAAAUUGCAGUUGAAACUGGCAGUCUUGAGUACGGUAGAGGUGGGCGGAAUUCGUGGUGUAGCGGUGAAAUGCUUAGAUAUAACGAAGAACUCCGAUUGCGAAGGCAGUUCACUGGACUGCAACUGACACUGAGGCUCGAAAGUGUGGGUAUCAAACAGGAUUAGAUACCCUUGUAGUC